UGUGAUGUGCCAGCUCAAUUAAUGAGCCAUCAUCCAACGCCUCUCCUUUUUUCAUAUUUUCUUAUUUCUGAUUUUUAUUUUCUUUUAUUUCUUUUAAUUCCAUUUUAUUUCUAAAAUCCAUAUCUAUUUUAUUAUUGGUCCAAAAAAUAUGAGACCAAUUGCAUUAUUUCUCUUUUAAUUUCUAGGUUCUAAAAAUGAUUUUU
This 203-nucleotide long non-coding RNA is filed under the name Lathyrus oleraceus (garden pea). RNAcentral describes it as "Pisum sativum (pea) long non-coding RNA (PSAT_LNC025297)". The record is from RNAcentral. Lineage: Eukaryota; Viridiplantae; Streptophyta; Magnoliopsida; Fabales; Fabaceae.